UACGGAGGGUGCAAGCGUUGUCCGGAUUUAUUGGGUUUAAAGGGUGCGUAGGCGGCCCUGUAAGUCAGUGGUGAAAGCCUCCAGCUCAACUGGAGAACUGCCAUUGAUACUGCAGGGCUUGAGUACAGACGAGGUUGGCGGAAUUGAUUGUGUAGCGGUGAAAUGCAUAGAUACAAUCAAGAACUCCGAUUGCGUAGGCAGCUAACUAGGCUGUAACUGACGCUGAGGCACGAAAGCGUGGGGAGCGAACAGG
This 253-nucleotide ribosomal RNA is filed under the name uncultured bacterium. RNAcentral describes it as "partial 16S ribosomal RNA". It matches the Rfam family "Bacterial small subunit ribosomal RNA", at positions 524 to 776 of the family's 1533-position model. The record is from RNAcentral.